This 420-nucleotide ribosomal RNA is filed under the name Piabina argentea. RNAcentral's name for it is "partial 12S ribosomal RNA". It matches the Rfam family "Bacterial small subunit ribosomal RNA", at positions 774 to 1395 of the family's 1533-position model. Lineage: Eukaryota; Metazoa; Chordata; Actinopteri; Characiformes; Stevardiidae. The record is from RNAcentral.
GGGAUUAGAUACCCCACUAUGCUUAGCCUUAAACCUAGAUGUUAAAUUUACAAGCAACAUCCGCCAGGGUACUACAAGCGCUAGCUUAAAACCCAAAGGACUUGACGGUGUCUCAGACCCACCUAGAGGAGCCUGUUCUAGAACCGAUAAUCCCCGUUAAACCUCACCACCCCUUGUUUUCUCCGCCUAUAUACCGCCGUCGCAAGCUUACCCUGUGAAGGUCUAAUAGUAAGCAAAAUGGGUAAAUCCCAAAACGUCAGGUCGAGGUGUAGCUUACGAGGUGGGAAGAAAUGGGCUACAUUUUCUAUAUCAGAAUAAUACGAACAGCACCAUGAAAUUAGUGCUCGAAGGUGGAUUUAGUAGUAAAAAACAAAUAGAGAGUCUUUUUGAACCAGGCUCUGAGACGCGCACACACCGCCC